Non-coding RNA from Mycena capillaripes, 84 nucleotides. The record is from the annotation of a GenBank genome assembly. NCBI's taxonomy places the organism in Eukaryota, Fungi, Basidiomycota, Agaricomycetes, Agaricales, Mycenaceae.
GACACUAUAGCUUAGUGGUUGAGCAUACGAUUGCAAUGCUUUUGGAUUAUCGUGAGGUCCCGUGUUCGAACCACGGUAGUGUCU